This is a non-coding RNA of Cicer arietinum (chickpea), 258 nucleotides long. The record is from RefSeq and is a predicted model, not a curated record. NCBI's taxonomy places the organism in Eukaryota, Viridiplantae, Streptophyta, Magnoliopsida, Fabales, Fabaceae.
GAUGGCAAAAACUUAUCCCAAACAGCAUCAGAUUCAGCGGCGGAUCUGAAAGUCCAUGAAACCAAAGAGAGUCUUCCAACAUCUCGAGGAGAUGUAAAGGACAGAAUAUUUGCUAUACAACCUUCAGGAAGCGGUUGAAAUGAAUAGGGAAGCUUAGCGGUUAAGUCUGGGAGAGUCGUAUAUGGUAUCGUGCAUAUUUGCCACACAAUCUGGACGAUAAAAGUUAUUAAAAAGGGUAUUUAUGCGAAUGGAUCUUUA